RNAcentral lists this ribosomal RNA (253 nucleotides) under uncultured bacterium. RNAcentral's name for it is "partial 16S ribosomal RNA". It matches the Rfam family "Bacterial small subunit ribosomal RNA", at positions 524 to 776 of the family's 1533-position model. The record is from RNAcentral.
UACGUAGGUGGCAAGCGUUGUCCGGAUUUACUGGGCGUAAAGAGCUCGUAGGCGGUCUGUUGCGUCGGCUGUGAAAACCCGGGGCUCAACUCCGGGCCUGCAGUCGAUACGGGCAGGCUAGAGUUCGGUAGGGGAGACUGGAAUUCCUGGUGUAGCGGUGAAAUGCGCAGAUAUCAGGAGGAACACCGGUGGCGAAGGCGGGUCUCUGGGCCGAAACUGACGCUGAGGAGCGAAAGCGUGGGGAGCGAACAGG